Molecule: ribosomal RNA, 260 nt
Filed under: Plantibacter sp. ISO450_OTU7859
Lineage: Bacteria; Bacillati; Actinomycetota; Actinomycetes; Micrococcales; Microbacteriaceae
Description: partial 16S ribosomal RNA
Rfam family: Bacterial small subunit ribosomal RNA
Source: RNAcentral
ACGAACGCUGGCGGCGUGCUUAACACAUGCAAGUCGAACGAUGAAGCCCAGCUUGCUGGGUGGAUUAGUGGCGAACGGGUGAGUAACACGUGAGUAACCUGCCCUUGACUCUGGGAUAAGCGUUGGAAACGACGUCUAAUACCGGAUACGAGCUUCCACCGCAUGGUGAGUUGCUGGAAAGAAUUUUGGUCAAGGAUGGACUCGCGGCCUAUCAGCUUGUUGGUGAGGUAAUGGCUCACCAAGGCGACGACGGGUAGCCG